UACAGAGGUGGCGAGCGUUAUUCGGAUUUACUGGGCGUAAAGGGUGCGUAGGCGGAUAGUUAUGUCAGAUGUGAAAGCUCACGGCUCAACCGUGGAAAUGCAUCUGAAACUGAUUAUCUAGAGUAUCGGAGAGGUAAGUGGAAUUCUUAGUGUAGCGGUGAAAUGCGUAGAUAUUAAGAGGAACACCGGUGGCGAAGGCGACUUACUGGACGAAUACUGACGCUGAGGCACGAAGGCUAGGGGAGCGAAGAGG
Molecule: ribosomal RNA, 253 nt
Filed under: uncultured bacterium
Lineage: Bacteria
Description: partial 16S ribosomal RNA
Rfam family: Bacterial small subunit ribosomal RNA
Source: RNAcentral